This 249-nucleotide ribosomal RNA is filed under the name uncultured bacterium. RNAcentral describes it as "partial 16S ribosomal RNA". It matches the Rfam family "Bacterial small subunit ribosomal RNA", at positions 796 to 1041 of the family's 1533-position model. The record is from RNAcentral.
CACGCUGUAAACGAUGAGCACUAGCCAUUGGGAGGUUUGACCCCUUCAGUGGCGUAGCAAACGCGUUAAGUGCUCCGCCUGGGAAGUACGGUCGCAAGACUAAAACUCAAAGGAAUUGACGGGGGCCCGCACAAGCGGUGGAUUAUGUGGUUUAAUUCGAAGCAACGCGCAAAACCUUACCUAGGCUUGAACUCGUGAGAAUUCUGGGUAAUGCCGGAAGUGUCCGCAAGGAAACUCAUAGAGAGGUGC